CUACGAGUUUGAUCAUGGCUCAGAUUGAACGCUGGCGGAAUGCUUUACACAUGCAAGUCGAGCGGCAGCGCGGGGGCAACCCUGGCGGCGAGCGGCGAACGGGUGAGUAACAUAUCGGAACGUGCCCAAUCGGUGGGGGAUAACGUAGCGAAAGUUACGCUAAUACCGCAUAAGCCCUGAGGGGGAAAGCAGGGGAUCGCAAGACCUUGCGCGAAUGGAGCGGCCGAUGUCAGAUUAGCUAGUUGGUGGGGUAAAGGCCUACCAAGGCGACGAUCUGUAGCGGGUCUGAGAGGAUGAUCCGCCACACUGGGACUGAGACACGGCCCAGACUCCUACGGGAGGCAGCAGUGGGGAAUUUUGGACAAUGGGCGCAAGCCUGAUCCAGCCAUGCCGCGUGCGGGACGAAGGCCUUCGGGUUGUAAACCGCUUUCAGCCGGAAAGAAAUCGCCAAGGCUAAUAUCCUUGGUGGAUGACGGUACCGGAAGAAGAAGCACCGGCUAACUACGUG
This 508-nucleotide ribosomal RNA is filed under the name uncultured bacterium. Its description in RNAcentral is "bacterial SSU rRNA". It matches the Rfam family "Bacterial small subunit ribosomal RNA", at positions 1 to 507 of the family's 1533-position model. The record is from RNAcentral.